Molecule: small RNA, 5377 nt
Filed under: Pan troglodytes (chimpanzee)
Lineage: Eukaryota; Metazoa; Chordata; Mammalia; Primates; Hominidae
Description: retained intron
Source: RNAcentral
GGAUGGCCCUGGACGAAGUGUGGGACAGCAGCCACUUCGCGCUCGAGCAGGGCCUCGAGGACGGCCCCGGCGCGAGCCUGGCACUGCGCAUCCUGGCGGCUCGGCUGCCGGAUUCCGGCGUCUACGUGUGCCACGCCCGCAACGCGCACGGCCACGCGCAGGCGGGGGCGCUGCUCCAGGUGCACCAGCCCCCCGAGAGCCCGCCCGCGGACCCCGACGAGGCCCCCGCGCCGGUGGUGGAGCCGCUCAAGUGCGCGCCUAAGACCUUCUGGGUGAACGAGGGCAAGCACGCCAAGUUCCGCUGCUACGUGAUGGGCAAGCCCGAGCCCGAGAUCGAAUGGCACUGGGAGGGCCGCCCGCUGCUCCCGGACCGCCGCCGCCUCAUGUACCGCGACCGCGACGGCGGCUUCGUGCUCAAGGUGCUCUACUGCCAGGCCAAGGACCGUGGGCUCUACGUCUGCGCCGCGCGCAACUCGGCGGGCCAGACGCUCAGUGCCGUGCAGCUGCACGUGAAAGAGCCCCGCCUCCGGUUCACACGGCCCCUGCAGGACGUGGAGGGCCGUGAGCACGGGAUUGCCGUGCUGGAGUGUAAAGUACCCAACUCCCGCAUCCCCACGGCCUGGUUCCGUGAGGACCAGCGGCUGCUGCCCUGCCGCAAGUACGAGCAGAUCGAAGAGGGCACUGUCCGGCGCCUCAUCAUCCACAGGCUGAAGGCAGACGAUGAUGGUAUCUACCUGUGCGAGAUGCGGGGCCGGGUGCGCACCGUGGCCAACGUCACAGUCAAAGGGCCCAUCCUGAAGCGCCUGCCCCGGAAGCUCGACGUCCUGGAAGGAGAGAAUGCUGUGCUGCUAGUGGAAACUCUAGAGGCUGGGGUCGAGGGACGCUGGAGCCGUGAUGGGGAGGAGCUGCCGGUCAUCUGCCAGAGCAGCUCAGGCCACAUGCAUGCCCUGGUCCUUCCAGGGGUCACCCGAGAGGAUGCUGGCGAGGUCACCUUUAGCCUGGGCAACUCCCGUACCACUACGCUUCUCAGAGUAAAAUGUGUCAAGCACAGUCCCCCAGGACCCCCCAUAUCGGCAGAGAUGUUCAAGGGCCACAAGAACACGGUCCUGUUGACCUGGAAGCCUCCCGAGCCAGCUCCCGAGACCCCAUUCAUCUACCGGCUGGAGCGGCAGGAAGUGGGCUCUGAAGACUGGAUUCAGUGCUUCAGCAUCGAGAAAGCCGGAGCCGUGGAGGUGCCGGGUGACUGUGUGCCCUCCGAGGGUGACUACCGCUUCCGCAUCUGCACAGUCAGCGGACAUGGCCGUAGUCCCCACGUGGUGUUCCACGGUUCUGCUCACCUUGUGCCCACAGCUCGCCUGGUGGCAGGUCUGGAGGAUGUGCAGGUAUACGACGGGGAAGAUGCCGUCUUCUCCCUCGAUCUCUCCACCAUCAUCCAGGGUACCUGGUUCCUUAAUGGGGAAGAGCUCAAGAGUAACGAGCCGGAGGGCCAGGUGGAACCUGGGGCCCUGCGGUACUGUAUGGAGCAGAAGGGUCUGCAGCACAGACUCAUCCUGCAUGCCGUCAAGCACCAGGACAGCGGUGCCCUGGUCGGCUUCAGCUGCCCUGGUGUGCAGGACUCAGCUGCCCUCACAAUCCAAGAGAGCCCGGUGCACAUCCUGAGCCCCCAGGACAAGGUGUCAUUGACCUUCACAACCUCAGAGCGGGUGGUGCUGACUUGUGAGCUCUCAAGGGUGGACUUCCCGGCAACCUGGUACAAGGAUGGGCAGAAGGUGGAGGACAGCGAGUUGCUGGUGGUGAAGAUGGAUGGGCGCAAACACCGUCUGAUCCUGCCUGAGGCCAAAGUCCAGGACAGUGGCGAGUUUGAGUGCAGGACAGAAGGGGUCUCGGCCUUCUUCGGCGUCACUGUCCAAGAUCCUCCCGUGCACAUCGUGGACCCCCGAGAACAUGUGUUCGUGCAUGCCAUAACUUCCGAGUGUGUCAUGCUGGCCUGUGAGGUGGACCGAGAGGACGCCCCUGUGCGUUGGUACAAGGACGGGCAGGAGGUGGAGGAGAGUGACUUCGUGGUGCUGGAGAAUGAGGGGCCCCAUCGCCGCCUGGUGCUGCCCGCCACCCAGCCCUCAGACGGGGGCGAGUUUCAGUGCGUCGCUGGAGAUGAGCGUGCCUACUUCACUGUCACCAUCACAGACGUCUCCUCGUGGAUCGUGUAUCCCAGCGGCAAGGUGUAUGUGGCAGCCGUGCGCCUGGAGCGUGUGGUGCUGACCUGUGAGCUAUGCCGGCCCUGGGCAGAGGUACGCUGGACCAAGGAUGGAGAGGAGGUGGUGGAGAGCCCCGCGCUGCUCCUGCAGAAGGAAGACACUGUCCGCCGCCUGGUGCUGCCCGCUGUCCAGCUCGAGGACUCCGGCGAGUACUUGUGUGAAAUUGACGAUGAGUCGGCCUCCUUCACUGUCACCGUCACAGAACCCCCAGUGCGGAUCAUAUACCCUCGCGAUGAGGUGACCUUGAUCGCCGUGACCUUGGAGUGUGUGGUGCUGAUGUGUGAACUGUCUCGGGAGGAUGCCCCUGUGCGCUGGUACAAGGAUGGGCUGGAAGUGGAGGAGAGCGAGGCCCUGGUGCUGGAGAGGGAUGGGCCACGCUGCCGCCUGGUGCUACCUGCUGCUCAGCCCGAGGACGGGGGCGAGUUUGUAUGCGAUGCUGGAGAUGACUCGGCCUUCUUCACUGUCACUGUCACAGAGCCCCCAGUGCAGUUCCUUGCUCCAGAGACAACUCCAAGCCCGCUCUGUGUGGCCCCCGGGGAGCCAGUGGUGCUGAGCUGUGAACUGUCCCGGGCUGGUGCCCCCGUGGUCUGGAGCCACAAUGGGAGGCCCGUGCAGGAGGGCGAGGGCCUAGAGCUCCAUGCCGAGGGCCCCCGCCGAGUCCUCUGCAUCCAGGCUGCAGGCCCAGCCCAUGCAGGGCUCUACACCUGCCAGUCUGGAGCAGCCCCUGGAGCCCCGAGCCUCAGCUUCACCGUCCAGGUGGCUGAGCCUCCUGUGCGGGUGGUAGCUCCCGAGGCAGCCCAGACGAGGGUUCGGAGCACUCCAGGCGGGGACCUAGAGCUGGUGGUGCACCUCUCCGGGCCAGGGGGCCCUGUACGCUGGUACAAGGACGGGGAGCGACUGGCAAGCCAGGGGCGGGUGCAGCUGGAGCAGGCCGGGGCCAGGCAGGUGCUGCGGGUGCAGGGGGCACGGAGCAGGGACGCUGGGGAGUACCUGUGCGACGCGCCCCAGGACAGCCGCAUCUUCCUUGUCAGCGUGGAAGAGCCACUGCCGGUGAAGCUGGUCUCGGAGCUGACACCACUCACUGUCCACGAGGGCGAUGAUGCCACGUUCCGGUGUGAAGUCUCCCCACCAGAUGCCGACGUCACCUGGCUGCGCAAUGGGGCGGUCGUCACUCCAGGGCCCCAGAGACAGAGCUGCUGUUCCUACGGCGGUUGCAGGAUGUGCGGGCAGAGGAAGGCCAGGACGUGUGUCUCGAAGUGGAGACAGGCCGAGUGGGUACAGCGGGGGCCGUGCGCUGGGUGCGAGGUGGGCAGCCCCUGCCCCACGACUCUCGCCUGUCCAUGGCCCAGGAUGGGCACAUCCACCGCCUCUUCAUCCAUGGUGUCAUACUGGCCGACCAGGGCACCUACGGCUGCGAGAGCCACCACGAUCGCACCCUGGCCAGGCUCAGCGUGAGGCGACGGGAGCGCGCUCACGCCUAGCCCGCGGCUCUGGCUCCAGGCCCUCGGCACGCGCCGCCUUCUCCAGCUGCGACGCUGCGGCCCCUCGGACGCCGGGACCUACAGCUGCGCGGUGGGGACGGCCCGCGCCAGACCGGUCCGCCUGACCGUGCGCGGUGGGUACGGGGUGAUGCGAAGGCUGGGCACUGCUUUGGGCGCGAGACUUGCGGAGCUGUCUUCCCCGGACCCUGCUGACCGCGCGUGCUUCUAGAAAAGGGGCGUGGAGGGGGCGUGACCGGUAACUGCCCUCUGCCCCGCCCCACUCACGCCCCGGGCUCCGCCCCAGAGCGUACUGUGGCGGUACUCUCCGAGCUGCGGUCGGUGAGCGCCCGCGAAGGCGACGGCGCUACGUUCGAGUGCACCGUGUCGGAGGUCGAGAUCACGGGGCGCUGGGAGCUCGGAGGCCGCCCGCUGAGACCCGGAGCCCGCGUCCGCAUCCGACAGGAAGGGAAGAAACACAUUCUGGUGCUUAGCGAGCUGCGCGCCGAGGACGCCGGUGAAGUCCGCUUCCAGGCGGGGCCCGCCCAGUCCCUGGCUCUACUGGAAGUGGAGGCAUUGCCUCUCCAGAUGUGCCGCCACCCCCCUCGCGAGAAGACCGUUCUGGUGGGCCGCCGGGCGGUGCUGGAGGUGACUGUGUCCCGCUCGGGGGGCCACGUGUGCUGGCUGCGGGAGGGGGCCGAGCUGUGCCCGGGAGAUAAGUAUGAGAUGCGCAGCCACGGCCCCACCCACAGCCUGGUCAUCCAUGACGUUCGACCUGAGGACCAAGGCACUUACUGCUGCCAGGCCGGCCAGGACAGCACCCACACACGGCUGCUGGUAGAGGGUGAGUAAAGCCAACUGGGCAGCGGCAGGAGGGUGAGGGCGCCUGGGAGCUGAUGGGUUAAGCCACACCUAUGGGAGGCUUUCCAGGACUUGGGGUGGCAACGGGUCCUGGGAUACGUAGGAGGUAGGGAUGGGGGAGGGGAGGGGUAGAGCACACCCAGGGCUGGAAAGCCCUGGAACUGCUUGGCUCAGAUCAGCUGCUCCUGGUCAGCUGUUCGCACCUUUCUACGCCCCUUCUUGCCAGGCUUCUCCUCUCUCCUGCCACUGGACCAUGUUUGUCUCUCUUGAACAGCCCUGUUUCUACCAGUUCCUUUCCUCCCCACUUCACCAACACUGCCUUCCUCCAGCCUGUCCCUCCUCCCUCCUGCCCUCUGCCCAGCUUGCCUCUGCCCAUCUCAGCAAGUUCCAUGUCAGCCUUGGCAGAAGCCUCUUUCUUUCCUCUUCCCCGUAAGAGACAUCCCACCUUCUAUCCCAAAUCCCAGCAUUCCCUUCAGGUGCUGCGCUGUGCCCCACCCCUAGCUGACCCCCACCUUCCUGCCGCCAAGACAGCCCUGACCAAGGCCCAGAAAGGGUAGGGCAGAGCCUGGGGGCCCAGCUCUUUGUGUACUGGUGUCCAGGCUCUGCCAGGGGAGAGGAAGGUGGUACCCCCUUCUCUCCCCAGCCCCAUGUGGAGUCAUUCCUCUGCAGGUAACUAGGAGGACCUAACCAGACCAGGCGGGUGCCCUUGGACAGCUUGGAAGGCGUUUGCCCUUACCGUGGGCAGGGGUAGAGAGACAAGGAACAAUAAAAGUGCUACAGCUC